GCAGGUCUCCGAGCGAUGAGAGGAAAACGGGUGCAAUGCCCGUGCUGUCCCGCAGCCGUAUGUAGUGAGUGUUCUUCCACAGGCGCAGAGCCUGUGCCUGUUAAAGUCACUGGUGACCAACCGGGAAGGCGGAGGAACGCGCUGAUCUACGAGCCGGAAAGCCUGCUUGCAAU
This 173-nucleotide non-coding RNA is filed under the name Centipeda artemidis. Lineage: Bacteria; Bacillati; Bacillota; Negativicutes; Selenomonadales; Selenomonadaceae. The record is from RNAcentral.